This 451-nucleotide ribosomal RNA is filed under the name Serratia marcescens. RNAcentral describes it as "bacterial SSU rRNA". It matches the Rfam family "Bacterial small subunit ribosomal RNA", at positions 77 to 525 of the family's 1533-position model. Lineage: Bacteria; Pseudomonadati; Pseudomonadota; Gammaproteobacteria; Enterobacterales; Yersiniaceae. The record is from RNAcentral.
UGCUCCCUGGGUGACGAGCGGCGGACGGGUGAGUAAUGUCUGGGAAACUGCCUGAUGGAGGGGGAUAACUACUGGAAACGGUAGCUAAUACCGCAUAACGUCGCAAGACCAAAGAGGGGGACCUUCGGGCCUCUUGCCAUCAGAUGUGCCCAGAUGGGAUUAGCUAGUAGGUGGGGUAAUGGCUCACCUAGGCGACGAUCCCUAGCUGGUCUGAGAGGAUGACCAGCCACACUGGAACUGAGACACGGUCCAGACUCCUACGGGAGGCAGCAGUGGGGAAUAUUGCACAAUGGGCGCAAGCCUGAUGCAGCCAUGCCGCGUGUGUGAAGAAGGCCUUCGGGUUGUAAAGCACUUUCAGCGAGGAGGAAGGUGGUGAGCUUAAUACGUUCAUCAAUUGACGUUACUCGCAGAAGAAGCACCGGCUAACUCCGUGCCAGCAGCCGCGGUAAUA